GGGCUUCAGCUCAGUGGUAGAGUGUCUACUUUGCAUGCAGAAGGUCUUGAGUUCAAACUCAGACAUCUCCA
This is a non-coding RNA of Podarcis lilfordi (Lilford's wall lizard), 71 nucleotides long. Lineage: Eukaryota; Metazoa; Chordata; Lepidosauria; Squamata; Lacertidae. The record is from the annotation of a GenBank genome assembly.